CAGCCAUCCGUGACAUUGUGUGCAAAGACCACAAACCAGCCAUUUUCUUCUCCUUUUAAAAAUCAAAUAGCUACAUUUGCAAAUGUUACACUAUUUAAAAGCAGGUUUGGGUACACUGCACCAAAUAGUCUUACUUAAAACAUAUUAAUAGGUGGUGUCUGAAAACAAAGCCUUGCUUUGCAUUUUGAGAUUUUAAAUGUGAUAACAUUUAAACUACCACCAACUUGUUAGAGUCAUGGAGAAUUUUGUUGCCUUUCAAGUUGAGGCCUAGCUUUUCCAAACUCAAAGGUCUGUCAGCUCAGCUGAAUAAGCAGUAAAAGUCCAAGGAAGGGUGUGUCCUAUGUAGGGUUGCAAAGGGCUGGAAAAUUUCUGGAAAUUUUCCUGAAACUUUCCGUUCCAUGGGAAGUGAAGCUUGGGAAUUUUGGAAAUAUUCCUCAUUAGAAACUUUCCAUGGGAAUUAACGGGAAAGUAUGGGAAUUAACAAGAAUAUUCCUAGAAUUUUGCAACCCUAGUCCUAUGUCAUCUUAGAUUGAUUAGAUAAGACUAAAUACUUGUUAAAAGCUAGAAGUUCUCAUUAAUGGAUUCAGGGCGAUGAACAUUUAUCCUAUCAGGUUAAAUAUUUAUAUCAUACACUAGGUGUAGCACUUUCUGUGAGAUGUUAGACAUUGUACGAGGGCAAUCAAAAGUUCUACAUACAAGCCAUUUAAUCUGCAAAGCACAUUUUGCAUUACUAAAAACUAAUAAUAAACAAAUCACACAAAUUACAUUCUUAAGGCAAAUCAAGUCCAUAAAAUAGAAUAGUGUUAUAUACAUUGUAAGUAUAAGUGUAUAUAUUAGUUUUACAUUUGUGAAAUGGAUUAGAAAAUUAUUUUACAACGCAUUCACAAGCACAAUAGUAAUUUAAUAGAAAUUGUUUCUGCUCCAACUGAAAAAAAUAAACAAUUUUCAAUGAUUCCAACUCUUCCAAAGGCUCAGGAUCAUUGCAGACCUAGGUUUAGAUAACAGUUUGAUUGCAAAUCUUCAAACUGUCUGAAGACCUGAAUAUAAACUGAUUAUGUAUUUGGGCUGUGAACUUGGAUUGUGAUAUUGUUUCUCUUCUAUGCCUUCUGCAAUUCUGACAAAAAUUGCCAAUGUUUACUAAUAUAAACAUAUUUUAGGUAUUUGGUUACGCAGCCAAAUAAUGUAAUUUCUAUUGAACAAGACUCAAACAAGGUUUCACUCCAUUAUGUCAAAAUGCUCUUUUUCUUCCUGUUCAUGAUAUUGCUUAUUGCUUUGAAAACAGAAGGUAAAUGUUUGUGGACUAAAAAAAUACCUAAAUGAAAAACUUAUUUUGAAAAUAGCUCUAAAAUCAGAAGCCUGGCAACCUUGCACAUAAUGACCGAAAAGACUCUCAUUUUAAGUUAUUAGCCUUCAACACAAUAAAAACAAAUAUUGCAAAUUGUGAUAUUUUUAACAAUAUUUUAAAAUGAAAUGAAUGAAAUGACAAUGAUAUGUGUUUCCCUUCCAUUAACUUCCCUGUGAAAUGCCAACUGAAUGGUCUGAUUUUCGCUGUGAAUGCUGGCAUUCUGUGUAAUACAUGAGCAAAGCGCUCACACUGUUUACAACCAGGAAGGAAUGCUAUUGGUUUCUGAUAAAAUCUUUCAUAAAACAUAUUUAAAAUAUAUUGAUAUAAAUGGUACUGUGUCAUCAUGUAUAUCGUUUAAAAAAUAUCGAAAUACGGUAAUUAAUAAAUAAAUAAAUCCAUAUAGCUUAGCUUUAGCAAAAUCUACUUUUUCUACGAUUCUCAAAUCGAUUGUGUGACCUCACUGACGCCCCCUAGUGGGCUUUGGCCCCUCAGUUGAGAACCACUGUUCUAAAGCACAAAGGCCACAGGUCAGGCUUUUUUUUGUAAAUGUUCAUGUGUGUUAUACUACCAUGUCUACAUUUUCAUAGCAUAUGGAGAUCAACACUUUAUGUCAAAGAUUAUGAAAAUGCGGAUUAUGUUGAGGUUAUGAUUUUCUUAUCGUAUCUUUAGAUUAAAGUCACACAACUGUUAAAGCUGCCAAAGAUCUACAUGUUUUCAUAAUUCAUAAAGGGACAGGAAAAGGGGGACUUCAAAUCGAUGUAUGAGGGAACCCACGUUAGCAUGUAGCACAGGUCAUUUGGAUGCUUCAUUUUCAAUACUUCCACAUUUUCGAUUAUAUUCAAAAAGGCAUGAAUUAUUCUAAAUAUUUGAGCUAGUUUAUCAAACAUACAGCAGUUCUGUGCCUGAACAAUUUAAUACUUUUCUAAUUAUUAUUUGAUUGGCGAUAUUAGAAAUAGUAUACCGAAGAUCUUUCUUUUCCCCUAUGCACAGAGUGGAGAUUAAUUAAAGAAGCGGAUGAAUACAUCACGCAGUAUAGUCCACUGGGUGGCUGUAUCAGCUGGUAGGAUCUUGACUGUAACGUUUACGUGAAAACAUAGUUUCAUCAGUAUAAAAUCACUGAAAUUAAACUUAUCUGGCGUACACAUCUCGACGAUAAUUCCUCAUAGCCUAUAUAAUACCGGUAAUACGGGUAGUACCACAUAGAUACCGUUAGUACCUUAUUUUAAAUUAUUCGUCCAUAAAGACGCGACAGGGACAAAUGUGACUCUUUCAAUAAAGGCUUCAUUGAUUACUUUCAUUAACGACACUGGCAUUUAAUGUGUUUCACAUGUCACAGAUGAAGAGUCGUUUCUCGUUACGCAAUUUGCUGUUUGACAUUGAUACGCUUAACCUGUGCGCCACCUGCUGACGAACUUACGUAUUGUUUAAAUAUACAUAUAUUAAAUUAAAAAAAAAAAACUCUGCUGGGAACCCCUGUGCGGUCUGAAACCAGCAUGGCAUUCUUCAUGUUCAGUGAAAUAUUUUCCUGAAUUAAGCCAGGGCGUGUUAUAACUAAUAUGAAACCUCAUUUCAUCGUAUAUUUAAGGUGAUAAUUAACUUGAAAAAUAAGAGCCAUUUACAGUGCCUCUUUUAAAUGCCUUGUGAUUAAUGACCUAGUGACUACCAGUGAUCUGCAUACCCACGUGUAACAAUGGCGGACUGUCCUUUAAUCAGUUUUAUUUGUGUUUCUGGCAGUGGAUGAAUACCAAUGGCUCCGCAAGGCCCAGUCCCCGGGGGCUGGCUGUCUGCAGGCACACUGUCGCUGGAUCCCAGCUUCUACUGCAUCGCCGUCCUUCUUAUCAUAACCAUCAUACUUCUGUCUCUUUGUAACAAAUGCGACAAGUCAGUCAUCCAUUCCCCCUUCUCUUUUUGCUAUUAAUUGCUUUUAAUAAUACGCCUGUAAAAACUGUUGCCUGAAGAAAUUAAAGAAACCUAAGGGACACACAUUGCAGCAUCAAGAGAACUCUGAAAAGGUACAACCACCAUUACAGCUCAUAAGAGUGUCUCCUAUAGGGGGAGCUACAGGAGGCAAAGACAGUUUGUGGCACACUAACCUCACAGACCAGAAAGGUGACCCUGCUCUUACUUCAGUGCCAGAAAAUAAGAGUUUGCAAAGUGCUACAGACCAGGAAGGAACCCUGUGGUAUCCACCCUGGAGAAGCCACAGUGGAGUACCUGUCUAUGCUGAAGGCGAGCUAAGUGCAAACUCUAAUGAGAGGCUGACCCUGAAGACUGGUGGCGAUAUUUCUAAAGAAGACGCCGGAAAGGCCGCUUCAGAAGGAGAACUCACUGGAUUGGACCAAACAUCACACAUGGGCGUGUCACGUAUGCACGCAGCGCGGCGCAGUCAUUUACCUCCGACUCCGGAAGAUGUUACGACGGGAACCAAAAACUUAAAAUGCUCACUGCAACAGCCUCAAGAGAGAAAACAGCACACUUCUGAAAUUGUCCAGGAGACGUGCAGCAGAGACCAUAACCCUGAUGUUCUGGGUGUAGCUUUUCCUGAGGAUAACUCUGAAGACCGAGACUACCAGACUAUCGAGGAGCUGACCUGUCAUUCCUCCCAAAAAAAUCAUGUGGCUGACAGAAGAUACAGAGAAGACCCAGUAGCAAUCUCUCCUACUCCACUUGAAGGCAAAGCAGAAGACCCAAAUGCUAUGUAUGCGCGGAUAAUCAAGAAAAUAAUAACUUGCAAGGCACCAGUACAGCUGCCCCUUAAGGAAGAGGAUGAGUCAGCUCCACCUGUCCCAGACAAGUGUUUUGAUAUGGAGGAUUGCAUAUGAGUAUACGAAGGAAAUUAGAUGAACAUUAAAGACUCAUAUAUACGUAAAACUUCGCUGCAUGCGUAACUACGUAACAAUCCACUCUCGUAAAAACAGUUCAAAAGUGUUGUCAGAGCUGUUUAAAGAACUGAUGCGAUUAUGAGGAAUGAUUCUACGAUAAGAACGCUAGAUGGUUCUUAUUUCCCAACCCAAAUAGCCAAUUCACAGCUGAAAAUAGCCAGAAGAGUUUAUAUAAAAUUACAAAAAUUUAGAUAGAUAGAUACUUUAUUAAUCCCAAAUAAAAUUUUAAUUUGCUUAGCAAUAUAAGGUAGGAUACUGCAGAACAAAGAUUUUUUUUCCAAGGAUUGCGUGCAUUUAGUACCUCAUUGCAAUUUUAUUAUAUUGCAUGUAAAGUGCAGCUAUGUUUUUUCUGGUUUUAUAGAACAAGAAAAAAUUGGCUGUGUUGAUAUUGUUAGAUUACUAACUAAAUAUGUAUACUGAAUGGUAUGAUUUUGUUUUGGUUUCUGUCAUAAUAUAUGAUACAGAUGGAUAUUAUCUACUUAGUAUGUGGAUAUUAUUAUAUCUAUGGCCUUUUGAUGGAAACAAGAAAUUAGUAGGCCUUGUGCUAUAUUGAGCUUACUUUAAUGCUCCCUGAGACAAGAACCAAGGCACUUCAAAUCCCGCAUUUUGGGUUGUGCAAUGUCCCUGCCACUGUUGAGAAGUUGACUGAGCACUCAUGGAGUUACCACUCAGCUGGUGAAUCAUGCACCUGGAUGACCUCCGGAUACAGGCUAGAGAUUUUGACAAAACUCUCAACAACCUGCAGGAAGUCAUCACCACCAUGCAGAGGACUGGUCUCAAGCUCAACCCUGCUAAGCGCCUGUUCUUCCAGGGAUGAGUGCAGUUCCUGGGCCACAUAGUAGAUGCUGAAGGAACGUCCACAAACCUAGAGAAGGUAGCAACUGUGAGGAACUGACAGUCGCUGCGGGUGGCACAGGAGUGGAGGAGUUUCCUGGAUGCCUGACGGAAGAGGGGACCGAGUUCUACUGGACAAAAGAGUGUGAGCCAGCAUUCCAGGGAAGUGAGGGGGUGCUGAUCACCACUCUAGUGUUAGCCUUCCCUGACCUGAAAGCCCCCUUUGUUGUGGACAUGGUUCCCAGAAACGUGGGAAUUAGCACACUGCCCUCCCAAGUCCAGGAGGGAGGCAGGAGGGGCAAACUGCAGUGAAUAUUGUAUGUCGUGGGAGCUUUGGGGUCAGGUGGCCUGGUGUGCGAAGAGGCUGCAGGCAUUCCAGUUCCCGUCUGUGGAUGGUCUGGUGCAAAGAAGGCCUGCCACCAUUGUGAGCGUUCAGAGAGAUGGCGCACCGUGAGCCCCAGCGAUGGCGUUUACCACCCUGCAAGGAAUCACCCUAAUGGACAUCGGGCAAUCAAGCAUCGACAUGAUUCUGGAGCACCUGUGGAAAAUGUUCUACUGAUCUGGCUGCUGCAGUGAUGUCGAGCUGUAUGUGCAACGCUGCAGUGAUGUUGAGCUGUAUGUGCAGUGCUGCAGUGAUGUUGAGCUGUAUGUGCAGCGCUGCAGUGAUGUUGAGCUGUAUGUGCAGUGCUGCAGUGAUGUUGAGCUGUAUGUGCAGC
Molecule: RNA transcript, 5777 nt
Organism: Paramormyrops kingsleyae
Lineage: Eukaryota; Metazoa; Chordata; Actinopteri; Osteoglossiformes; Mormyridae
Source: RefSeq, a predicted model, not a curated record